Molecule: transfer RNA, 72 nt
Filed under: Camelus bactrianus (Bactrian camel)
Lineage: Eukaryota; Metazoa; Chordata; Mammalia; Artiodactyla; Camelidae
Also listed under: 2 other names
Rfam family: tRNA
About the family: Transfer RNA (tRNA) molecules are approximately 80 nucleotides in length. Their secondary structure includes four short double-helical elements and three loops (D, anti-codon, and T loops). Further hydrogen bonds mediate the characteristic L-shaped molecular structure. tRNAs have two regions of fundamental functional importance: the anti-codon, which is responsible for specific mRNA codon recognition, and the 3' end, to which the tRNAs corresponding amino acid is attached (by aminoacyl-tRNA synthetases). tRNAs cope with the degeneracy of the genetic code in two manners: having more than one tRNA (with a specific anti-codon) for a particular amino acid; and 'wobble' base-pairing, i.e. permitting non-standard base-pairing at the 3rd anti-codon position.
Source: Rfam by way of RNAcentral
GAAAGUAUAGCUCAGUGGUAGAGCACAUGCUAAGUGUACACGAGGUCCUGGGUUCAAUCCCCAGUACCUCCA